GCUGGGGGUGGUGGUGCAUGCCUAUAGUUCCAGCUACUCGGGAGGCUAUAGUAGGAGGAUAACUUGAGCCCAGGAGUUCAAGGCCAGCCAGAACAACAUAGUGAACACUUAUCU
This 114-nucleotide small RNA is filed under the name Marmota monax (woodchuck). The record is from RNAcentral. Lineage: Eukaryota; Metazoa; Chordata; Mammalia; Rodentia; Sciuridae.